This is a long non-coding RNA of Raphanus sativus (radish), 1497 nucleotides long. RefSeq lists it as uncharacterized. The transcript has 3 exons. Lineage: Eukaryota; Viridiplantae; Streptophyta; Magnoliopsida; Brassicales; Brassicaceae. The record is from RefSeq and is a predicted model, not a curated record.
UUAUUUUUGUUCUAUGCUUUUAAUUUAAAUGCUUUUAUUAUCUUACUAAAAUCCCUACUUUUAUUGAUUUCCAAAUAUUUUCCACUCAUCCAUUGCUUUUAAAUCAAAACAUAAUUAACUAAUGUAAUUUAUUAUAUACAAAAUCGACAAUGGAAUUAUUUAAUAACAACUAUUGAUCGGAAAUCUUAUAGAAACAAAAUAUUAUGAAUCCCUGACAUAACGAUCGGGAAUAUGCCAAGAAAUAUUCUCAAUUAACCAAAUCCAUGACAAAAGAUUUCUUUUUGUUAUUAUUCAAACAACGCAAACACAAUACAUUACACCUUAUACUAUUAUGACUAUCUUACAUAAUAUUAAAUUACAAAUAUCCCUUAUGUUACAACUUACAAGAGUAAAUAACAAGAGAUCGACAUAGUUUAACUUAGUGUCUAUCAUAUUAUAUAACUAACUUUACUUCCUCAUGGUCAAUACUAAGGAGUUCACCUAUUCAUUUAAACUAAUGUCAAAAUCUCUCACAUACCUGGAUUAUGUAUGCAGCAUUUGUCCGUCUCCUCACAACUGUCAAUCUACAAAAUUGUGAUACAAUUCAAUCUGAUUAGUUUAUGAAAUAACAUAUGUUAUUUGUAACAUUUAUCACAAAUUUAGCAAUAUACAAUGAAUCCUAAACCAGAAGUAAACCCUAUACCUUAAAAGAAAAUCAAAGUAUCCCUAAAUCGAGUAUUUAUAUUUUUACAUUAUAUUUGAAUUUUGUAAAAAAAGUAUCCCAAGAUUUUUAAAACACGCAACUAUAAUAUAUUUCUGUUUUAACAUAUCUGAACCAUCAGAAUCUACUUCUGAAAAUGACCUUCGGUGCUCUAAAUCUUUUUGUUAGUUAACCCAUUUUUACUUCAAAAUUUGAAUAUUUAUAUUAUAUCCGAAUAUUUUUAAAAUCAAUAAUCAAGAUUUUAUAGAAAUUAUUUAUUUUCUUAACUUAUUAUACAAGAUUCUUAUUCACUAUAUAUAACCCAACCGAACACCCUUGGAUACAAAAAGGAAAACUCUAAACAUCUCGAUACUUUAAUAGCACCUCCUAAGAAAAUUAGUAGCCAAACUGAUGUCAAACCUUUAAAAGUACGAUGGUAGAUUCAAGAAAGAUCUGGAAGCAAUUUAGUGCUCAAUAUGGCAAGAGUUUAAGAUUAUUCUCGCAGAUCAAAAUGGAACAAAAAUACAUGCAACAUUUUUUUGUAAAAGGCCUUCAAAAGAUACAUGCAACAUUGAAACAUAUUUCUUGAUUGAAUUCAUUGGACAAGCCAUGGACGUUGGUGAAAUUAAUCCUUUGUUGUGGAAAAGAGAUAACAAAAAAUAGAGUUCAAUCAUAGAGAUUAUGGGUUUUUUUAACUAAUACUGUCAUAUUUUUAUCCCUGUUGUAUAGUGUAUCCAUCUUGAGAUGGAUUUGAUAUUGCAAGCAGUACUAACAAUAUCAAAAAUAUUGUUUUAGUGAUAACUUUUUCCACUAAGUUA